AGCACCAACAUAAGUAACUUAUGUUAGCGAUCUAUAAGGAAGCCUUUAUUCUCCACGCUCAUAAAAUUGUAAACAGACACAAAAGUGCACUGCAUCCAUAAAACACCAUGGCGGUCGAGGAUGCUGAGCUCCUGAGACGACUCAGAGGAUGGGGCCGGACGUCAGGCCGGGCUGCACACCUCUCGGGCGAUGCGGAAAGUGCUAACUGCCAGAGGAGAAGCCGAAGUUGCUCACUCUGGGGCAACCGUGUCAUGAGACAGCCCAGUGGAGAAGUCUACAUUGUGGGGAACUCCCUCCAGGCAGCCUGGAGCCAACAACCAGCCAGGAAUUGAGCCCUCAUUCCAUCAGCUCCUACCAACAGCCAGGGAGUGAGCCGACAUUGAGCUGAGCCGUGCGUCCCCCUCAGGUGAGUCCUCAGAUGAAACCACAGCCCUGGCAACAGCUCAGCUCAGCCACACCUGGGUCCCUGACUCACAGAAACAGGGAGAUCAUAAAUGUUUGUUGUGCUCAGUUGCCAAAUCGGGGGGUCGUUUAUUCGGCAGUAAUAAAUAACUAAUACAUGUUAGGUGGAACCACAUGAAAUUAUGGCUUAGUGAGUUCAAAAAAUAGUUAAAUACCAACAGUUUUCUAUAGGUCAAACUAAAUGCUUUAUUCUACCCAUUGCAUGUAACAUCUUGCAAACUGCAAAGUGCUAUUGAAACUCACUCCAAAAAAUGUGGAAAUGGGCCCUGAGGGGCUAAGUGAUUUCCCAGAAGUUACAGUCUGCAUGCGUUGGAGUCAGGACGCAAACCCACGACAUCAAGACCCAUCCUCCUAAGUGCGGCGUGCCCCCUGUGUGCCAGGAAUCAUGGUCGGCACCAGGGGACAAAUGAAAGGGCCACCGCCAUUGCCAUCAAGAAGACAGAAGGGCUGCCCAACAGGCUUUAAACAAAGAGAAAGCCGGAACCACUGGAGCAGAGUUGAUCUGGGGAUCCCCGCAACACCCCCACGGACCAAAGGGUAAGCAUGAAACACACAGACACCUGAAUGUAAUUAUCUUGAAGCGAUCAGACCUCUGGUAUCUCUUCGAGGAGGCUGAUCCUGCCUCCAUCCCUCCGGUCUAUCAGUCACUCUCUCACAAUUAUUUGCCUUUUCUAAUCAGCAGGCAGGCUUCUGAAGCCCGUUCUUGAACACAUUUAUCAUCUCCAAUACUAUGUGCAGGGAAUCAAUUUUAUUUUCCCUUGCUGAGCCUACCAGCAUCUCGUUUGUAAUUAGAGAAGUACGCGUGAGGAAAAGGAUUUGUUGUUGCUAAAUUAGGUCAAAUGUGCUCUUCCUCGGAGUGUCUGGCACGUUUGCGAUGUGCCCUGCGUUGCUGGCUGUGGGCGGGCUCAGGCUGCGUCACCUUCCUUCCCUAA
Molecule: long non-coding RNA, 1394 nt
Organism: Herpailurus yagouaroundi (jaguarundi)
Lineage: Eukaryota; Metazoa; Chordata; Mammalia; Carnivora; Felidae
Exons: 3
Source: RefSeq, a predicted model, not a curated record